Molecule: long non-coding RNA, 491 nt
Organism: Oncorhynchus keta (chum salmon)
Lineage: Eukaryota; Metazoa; Chordata; Actinopteri; Salmoniformes; Salmonidae
Exons: 4
Source: RefSeq, a predicted model, not a curated record
UCAUACCAUGUCAUGUGUCUUCUCAGUCAUGUUGACACUGGUCUACUACCAGGUCAUGUGUCUUCUCAGUCAUGUUGACACUGGUCUACUACCAGGUCAUGUGUCUUCUCAGUCAUGUUGACACUGGUCUACUACCAGGUCAUGUGUCUUCUCAGUCAUGUUGACACUGGUCUACUACCAGGUCAUGUGUCUUCUCAGUCAUGUUGACACUGGUCUACUACCAGGUCAUGUGUCUUCUCAGUCAUGUUGACACUGGUCUACUACCAGGUCAUGUGUCUUCUCAGUCAUGUUGACACUGGUCUACUACCAGGUCAUGUGUCUUCUCAGUCAUGUUGACACUGGUCUACUACCAGGUCAUGUGUCUUCUCAGUCAUGUUGACACUGGUCUACUACCAGGUCAUGUGUCUUCUCAGUCAUGUUGACACUGGUCUACUACCAGGUCAUGUGUCUUCUCAGUCAUGUUGACACUGGUCUACUACCAGGUCAUGUGU